GACGCACGCUGGCGGCGUGCUUAACACAUGCAAGUCGAACGGAAAGGCCCUGCUUUUGUGGGGUGCUCGAGUGGCGAACGGGUGAGCAACACGUGAGUAACCUGCCCUUGACUUUGGGAUAACUUCAGGAAACUGGGGCUAAUACCGGAUAGGAGCUCCUGCUGCAUGGUGGGGGUUGGAAAGUUUCGGCGGUUGGGGAUGGACUCGCGGCUUAUCAGCUUGUUGGUGGGGUAGUGGCUUACCAAGGCUUUGACGGGUAGCCGGCCUGAGAGGGUGACCGGCCACAUUGGGACUGAGAUACGGCCCAGACUCCUACGGGAGGCAGCAGUGGGGAAUAUUGCACAAUGGGCGGAAGCCUGAUGCAGCAACGCCGCGUGCGGGAUGACGGCCUUCGGGUUGUAAACCGCUUUCGCCUGUGACGAAGCGUGAGUGACGGUAAUGGGUAAAGAAGCACCGGCUAACUACGUG
RNAcentral lists this ribosomal RNA (468 nucleotides) under uncultured bacterium. RNAcentral describes it as "partial 16S ribosomal RNA". It matches the Rfam family "Bacterial small subunit ribosomal RNA", at positions 28 to 507 of the family's 1533-position model. The record is from RNAcentral.